ACGAACGCUGGCGGCGUGGAUUAGGCAUGCAAGUCGAACGCGAACGGUUUCCUUCGGGGAACUAAGUAGAGUGGCGAACGGGUGAGUAACGCGUAGGUAAUCUACCUUUAUGUGGGGGAUAGCCCCGGGAAACCGGGAUUAAUACCGCAUGUGAACCUUCGGGAAAGAAGGCCUCUAUUUAUAAGCUUUCGCAUAGAGAUGAGCCUGCGUCCUAUUAGCUAGUUGGUAAGGUAAUGGCUUACCAAGGCAUUGAUAGGUAGGCGGCUUUAACGAGUGGUCGCCCACACUGGGAUUGAGAUACGGCCCAGACUCCUACGGGAGGCAGCAGUCGAGAAUAGUCUACAAUGGGGGAAACCCUGAUAGUGCGACGCCGCGUGUAUGAAGAAGCACUUCGGUGUGUAAAAUACUUUUAUGAGUGAGCAAUAUUUUGUAUAAGAAAUUAUGCAAGAGACGAUAUUAUCUCAGGAAUAAGCCACGGCUAAUUCCGUGCCAGCAGCCGCGGUAAUACGGGAGUGGCGAGCGUUGUCCGGAUUUACUAGGCGUAAAGGGCAAGUAGGCGGAGUUAUAAGUCUUAUGUUAAAGGCAUCAGCUCAACUGAUGUAAGGCACGAGAUACUGUAAUUCUAGAGUAAGUGAGAUGUAGCUGGAAUUUCCGGUGUAGCGCUGAAAUGCGUAGAGAUCGGAAGGAACAUCAGUGGCGAAGGCGGCCUACAGGUGCAUUACUGACGCUGAAUUGCGAAGGUGCGGGUAUCGAACAGGAUUAGAUACCCUGGUAGUCCGCACAGUAAACGAUAUACACUAGGUGUUGGUAUGGAGAACAUAUCAGUGCCGUAGCUAACGGCAUUAAGUGUAUCGCCUGGGGAGUACGAUCGCAAGGUUUAAACUCAAAGGAAUUGACGGGGGCCCGCACAAGCGGUGGAGCAUGUGGUUUAAUUCGAUGCAACGCGAAGAACCUUACCUGGGCUUGACAUCCUAAGAAUCUUUUAGAGAUAAGAGAGUGCCUUUCGGGAACUUAGUGACAGGUGCUGCAUGGCUGUCGUCAGCUCGUGUCGUGAGAUGUUGGGUUAAGUCCCGCAACGAGCGCAACCCCUAUCUUUAGUUACCAUCAUUCAGUUGGGGACUCUAGAGAGACUGCCAGUGUAAUAAACUGGAGGAAGGUGGGGACGACGUCAAGUCAUCAUGGUCCUUAUGCCCAGGGCUACACACGUGCUACAAUGGCCGGAAUAGAGGGUUGCGAAGCCGCGAGGUGAAGCUAAUCUCCGAAACCCGGUCUCAGUUCGGAUUGGAGUCUGCAACUCGACUCCAUGAAGUUGGAAUCGCUAGUAAUCGCGUAUCAGCAUGACGCGGUGAAUACGUUCCCGGGCCUUGUACACACCGCCCGUCAAGUCAGCCGAGUUGAUUGCACCCGAAGAAGGUGAGCUAACCGCAAGGAGGCAGCUUUCGAAGGUGUGAUUAGCAAGGGGGACUAAGUCGGAACAAGGUAGCCGUA
This 1488-nucleotide ribosomal RNA is filed under the name uncultured prokaryote. RNAcentral's name for it is "partial 16S ribosomal RNA". It matches the Rfam family "Bacterial small subunit ribosomal RNA". The record is from RNAcentral.